RNAcentral lists this ribosomal RNA (768 nucleotides) under fungal endophyte. Its description in RNAcentral is "eukaryotic LSU rRNA". The stretch from base 536 to 768 matches the Rfam family "Eukaryotic large subunit ribosomal RNA", at positions 1 to 230 of the family's 3401-position model. Lineage: Eukaryota; Fungi. The record is from RNAcentral.
GGUGACCUGCGGAGGGAUCAUUACACAAUAACAAGGCGGGCUGGACACCCCCCGCUGGGCACUGCUUCACGGCGUGCGCGGCGGGGCCGGCCCUGCUGAAUUAUUCACCCGUGUCUUUUGCGUACUUCUUGUUUCCUGGGUGGGCUCGCCCGCCCUCAGGACCAACCACAAACCUUUUGCAAUAGCAAUCAGCGUCAGUAACAACGUAAUUAAUUACAACUUUCAACAACGGAUCUCUUGGUUCUGGCAUCGAUGAAGAACGCAGCGAAAUGCGAUACGUAGUGUGAAUUGCAGAAUUCAGUGAAUCAUCGAAUCUUUGAACGCACAUUGCGCCCUUUGGUAUUCCAAAGGGCAUGCCUGUUCGAGCGUCAUUUGUACCCUCAAGCUUUGCUUGGUGUUGGGCGUCUUUUGUCUCCAGUUCGCUGGAGACUCGCCUUAAAGUCAUUGGCAGCCGGCCUACUGGUUUCGGAGCGCAGCACAAGUCGCGCUCUUUGCCAGCCAAGGUCAGCGUCCAGCAAGCCUUUUUUUCAACCUUUGACCUCGGAUCAGGUAGGGAUACCCGCUGAACUUAAGCAUAUCAAUAAGCGGAGGACAAGAAACCAACAGGGAUUGCCCCAGUAACGGCGAGUGAAGCGGCAACAGCUCAAAUUUGAAAUCUGGCUCUUUUAGAGUCCGAGUUGUAAUUUGCAGAGGGCGCUUUUGGCUUUGGCAGCGGUCCAAGUUCCUUGGAACAGGACGUCACAGAGGGUGAGAAUCCCGUACGUGGUC